This 379-nucleotide ribosomal RNA is filed under the name uncultured eukaryote. RNAcentral's name for it is "partial 18S ribosomal RNA". It matches the Rfam family "Eukaryotic small subunit ribosomal RNA", at positions 592 to 976 of the family's 1831-position model. The record is from RNAcentral.
CAAUAGCGUAUAUUAAAGUUGUUGCGGUAAAAAAGCUCGUAGUUGGAUUUCUGCUGAGGAUGGGCGGUCCGCUCACUGAGCGUGUAUCUGCUUCAGCCUUGGCAUCCUCUCGUUAAUCGUUUCUGCGCUUGAUUGCGUGGGGCGGGUGGCGGGACUUUUACUUUGAGGAAAUUAGAGUGUUCACGGCAGGCUAUCGCCAGAAUACAUUAGCAUGGAAUAAUACUAUAGGAUCUUGGUCCUAUUUUGUUGGUUUCUAGGAUUAAGAUAACGAUUAAUAGGGACAAUUGGGGGCAUUCGUAUCAACACGUCAGAGGUGGAAUUCUUGGAUUGUGUUGCGACGAACUACUGCGAAAGCAUUUGCCAAGGAUGUUUUCAUUGA